RNAcentral lists this ribosomal RNA (460 nucleotides) under uncultured bacterium. Its description in RNAcentral is "partial 16S ribosomal RNA". It matches the Rfam family "Bacterial small subunit ribosomal RNA", at positions 338 to 795 of the family's 1533-position model. The record is from RNAcentral.
CCUACGGGGGACUGCAGUGAGGAAUAUUGGUCAAUGGACGAGAGUCUGAACCAGCCAAGUAGCGUGAAGGAUGACUGCCCUAUGGGUUGUAAACUUCUUUUAUAUGGGAAUAAAAUGUUCCACGUGUGGGAUUUUGUAUGUACCAUAUGAAUAAGGAUCGGCUAACUCCGUGCCAGCAGCCGCGGUAAUACGGAGGAUCCGAGCGUUAUCCGGAUUUAUUGGGUUUAAAGGGAGCGUAGGUGGAUUGUUAAGUCAGUUGUGAAAGUUUGCGGCUCAACCGUAAAAUUGCAGUUGAAACUGGCAGUCUUGAGUACAGUAGAGGUGGGCGGAAUGCGUGGUGUAGCGGUGAAAUGCUUAGAUAUCACGAAGAACUCCGAUUGCGAAGGCAGUUCACUGGACUGCAACUGACACUGAGGCUCGAAAGUGUGGGUAUCAAACAGGAUUAGAUACCCUAGUAGUC